UACGAAGGGGGCUAGCGUUGUUCGGAUUUACUGGGCGUAAAGCGCACGUAGGCGGCUCGUUAAGUUGGGGGUGAAAUCCUGGAGCUCAACUCCAGAACUGCCUUCGAUACUGGCGAUCUCGAGUCCGGAAGAGGUGAGUGGAACUCCUAGUGUAGAGGUGGAAUUCGUAGAUAUUAGGAAGAACACCAGUGGCGAAGGCGGCUCACUGGUCCGGUACUGACGCUGAGGUGCGAAAGCGUGGGGAGCAAACAGG
This 253-nucleotide ribosomal RNA is filed under the name uncultured bacterium. RNAcentral describes it as "partial 16S ribosomal RNA". It matches the Rfam family "Bacterial small subunit ribosomal RNA", at positions 524 to 776 of the family's 1533-position model. The record is from RNAcentral.